GAAUUCGAUUCAGGCCUAACACAUGCAAGUCGAACGGCAGCAUGGAGAGCUUGCUCUCUGAUGGCGAGUGGCGAACGGGUGAGUAAAGCAUCGGAACGUACCGUGUAAUGGGGGAUAACGUAGCGAAAGUUACGCUAAUACCGCAUACGACCUGAGGGUGAAAGCAGGGGAUCGCAAGACCUUGCGUUAUACGAGCGGCCGAUGUCAGAUUAGCUAGUUGGUGAGGUAAAGGCUCACCAAGGCGACGAUCUGUAGCGGGUCUGAGAGGAUGAUCCGCCACACUGGGACUGAGACACGGCCCAGACUCCUACGGGAGGCAGCAGUGGGGAAUUUUGGACAAUGGGGGAAACCCUGAUCCAGCCAGGCCGCGUGAGUGAAGAAGGCCUUCGGGUUGUAAAGCUAUUGGGCCGGGAAGAAAUCGCACAGGCUAAUACUCUGUG
Molecule: ribosomal RNA, 440 nt
Filed under: uncultured bacterium
Lineage: Bacteria
Description: bacterial SSU rRNA
Rfam family: Bacterial small subunit ribosomal RNA
Source: RNAcentral